This 496-nucleotide ribosomal RNA is filed under the name uncultured bacterium. Its description in RNAcentral is "partial 16S ribosomal RNA". It matches the Rfam family "Bacterial small subunit ribosomal RNA", at positions 29 to 507 of the family's 1533-position model. The record is from RNAcentral.
AUGAACGCUGGCGACGUGCCUAAUACAUGCAAGUCGCGCGAACAGACGAGGAGCUUGCUCCUCUGACGUUAGCGGCGGACGGGUGAGUAACACGUGGAUAACCUACCUAUAAGACUGGGAUAACUUCGGGAAACCGGAGCUAAUACCGGAUAAUAUAUUGAACCGCAUGGUUCAAUAGUGAAAGACGGUUUUGCUGUCACUUAUAGAUGGAUCCGCGCCGCAUUAGCUAGUUGGUAAGGUAACGGCUUACCAAGGCGACGAUGCGUAGCCGACCUGAGAGGGUGAUCGGCCACACUGGAACUGAGACACGGUCCAGACUCCUACGGGAGGCAGCAGUAGGGAAUCUUCCGCAAUGGGCGAAAGCCUGACGGAGCAACGCCGCGUGAGUGAUGAAGGUCUUCGGAUCGUAAAACUCUGUUAUUAGGGAAGAACAAAUGUGUAAGUAACUAUGCACGUCUUGACGGUACCUAAUCAGAAAGCCACGGCUAACUACGUG